UGGGCCAAGAUGCUUACCAUUAUGGUGGGCACCUUCAUUCAGCUAGUGUUGACUAUGAACAGUUAACAGAGAGUUUCUAAAGCCAUUUCCGGAAAAGCUUUGCUCCCAAAUGGUGCCAAUUUCUACCCCAAUCAGCCAUAGAGGGAUUUGACUUGACACAGUUGUGGGGUGGUCUGAGCAGCCUUUCUCAACCUGUCAUCUGUGUGCCUGUUGCUGCAGCUGCAAUCCACAGAGCAGGUGGUCACGAAGGGACAGCUGAUGUUAACGGGAAGAGAUCUGGGCAGGCUGGAACUCACAAGCAUGAGUGAAGUUGGACAGAAACUUGUGUCCAUUAUUGUUGCCUCUAACCUUUGGUAAAAGCAUCCUGCGGAACCCAUGGCCAUUGAUCGUGCACCUGCACAUGCACCCCGAGCCUGUGUGCUGCAGAAGCCAAUAAAGGAGCAGGGACAGGAAAGUACACACAACUGCUUCACACCAAGAAAAUCCAGGAACAACUUGUUUCACUUGGGUUUGAGACAGUAGCAGAUGCACCUUUGCACUUGGGAAGGCAGCCAGAGGAGAUAAUUUAACAGCUUGUGUCACUAGUAAUGGAAAAUCAAGAUAGCCGUGUUCAUUUUUGCAAUGCAAAUAUAGGACAUGUGUGUUUGUAGUGUUCUCGUCGGUGGACAAAAAAUGCAUUCCAGAUAUGAUCACCGGAUUGAAGACUGUUUAGAUAGGUUGACAUUUCUGAAAGAUUGGAAAAAAGCACCCAAGGUCAAUAGCAGUAAUGGAUUGAAGAGACCUCACCAAUAUUCGGAUUGUUUUCAUCAAAAAAGCAUAUUUUAUACUGAGAAGGAAGAUGUAUAAGAGGAGUGUAGUCACAUCGCAUAUUAAAAUGUACAGCAAACAUGUACAAAACAUACAGGAAAGUCUUUAUAAUGAAGACGAUGAUGAACUGGCAUGAGAAAGGGAAAAAAAUGAAAUAGAGAAUAGAAAGAAGAGAAAUAGACCCAAGGACACAUAGAAACCUAGCGUAGGAUAAAGUUCAAUCUUAAAUCAUUUGGGGAUAAUGGAUGUUUUAAUAAUGGACACUGUGACAGAUGUAGGCAGCCAUUUAAGAGAUGAUAAAAUUAGAUCCACUCCUCACGCCGUACUCAGAAACGAAUCCACAAUGGACCAGAGAAAAGGUAAAAGAACCAGAACCACAAAGUGGUCAGGACCACUACAAACCAGAAAAAUUCUUGUAUGGCCUGGGUGUAGGGAAAUGGCUUUCUAAUCAUCGCAAAUUUAAUAAAAGAACGGAUGCAUACGUUUGGCUACAUUUAUUUUUUAAAUUAUUUUUAAGGACUAGUUUUCCCUCACGUAUU
Felis catus (domestic cat) is the source of this 1346-nucleotide long non-coding RNA. RefSeq lists it as uncharacterized. The transcript is spliced from 4 exons. The record is from RefSeq and is a predicted model, not a curated record. NCBI's taxonomy places the organism in Eukaryota, Metazoa, Chordata, Mammalia, Carnivora, Felidae.